GACGAACGCUGGCGGCGUGCUUAACACAUGCAAGUCGAACGGAAAGGCCCUGCUUUUGUGGGGUGCUCGAGUGGCGAACGGGUGAGUAACACGUGAGUAACCUGCCCUUGACUUUGGGAUAACUUCAGGAAACUGGGGCUAAUACCGGAUAGGAGCUCCUGCUGCAUGGUGGGGGUUGGAAAGUUUCGGCGGUUGGGGAUGGACUCGCGGCUUAUCAGCUUGUUGGUGGGGUAGUGGCUUACCAAGGCUUUGACGGGUAGCCGGCCUGAGAGGGUGACCGGCAACAUGGGGACUGAGAUACGGCCCAGACUCCAACGGGAGGCAGCAGGGGGGAAUAUGGCACAAGGGGCGGAAGCCUAAUGCAGCAACGCCGCGUGCGGGAGGACGGCCUUCGGGUGGUAAACCGCUUUCGCCUGUGACGAAGCGUGAGUGACGGUAAUGGGUAAAGAAGCACCGGCUAACUACGU
RNAcentral lists this ribosomal RNA (467 nucleotides) under uncultured bacterium. Its description in RNAcentral is "partial 16S ribosomal RNA". It matches the Rfam family "Bacterial small subunit ribosomal RNA", at positions 28 to 506 of the family's 1533-position model. The record is from RNAcentral.